AUUGAACGCUGGCGGCAGGCUUAACACAUGCAAGUCGAGCGGAGCGAGGGUGCUUGCACCUUAGCUUAGCGGCGGACGGGUGAGUAAUGCUUAGGAAUCUGCCUAUUAGUGGGGGACAACAUUCCGAAAGGAAUGCUAAUACCGCAUACGCACUACGGGGGAAAGCAGGGGAUCUUCGGACCUUGCGCUAAUAGAUGAGCCUAAGUCGGAUUAGCUAGUUGGUGGGGUAAAGGCCUACCAAGGCGACGAUCUGUAGCGGGUCUGAGAGGAUGAUCCGCCACACUGGGACUGAGACACGGCCCAGACUCCUACGGGAGGCAGCAGUGGGGAAUAUUGGACAAUGGGCGGAAGCCUGAUCCAGCCAUGCCGCGUGUGUGAAGAAGGCCUUUUGGUUGUAAAGCACUUUAAGCGAGGAGGAGGCUACUUAGAUUAAUACUCUGGGAUAGUGGACGUUACUCGCAGAAUAAGCACCAGCUAACUCUGUGCCAGCCGCCGCAGUAA
This 501-nucleotide ribosomal RNA is filed under the name uncultured bacterium. RNAcentral's name for it is "partial 16S ribosomal RNA". It matches the Rfam family "Bacterial small subunit ribosomal RNA", at positions 30 to 523 of the family's 1533-position model. The record is from RNAcentral.